Molecule: ribosomal RNA, 253 nt
Filed under: uncultured bacterium
Lineage: Bacteria
Description: partial 16S ribosomal RNA
Rfam family: Bacterial small subunit ribosomal RNA
Source: RNAcentral
UACGAAGGGUGCAAGCGUUACUCGGAAUUACUGGGCGUAAAGCGUGCGUAGGCGGUGAGUUAAGUCUGAUGUGAAAUCCCCGGGCUCAACCUGGGAAUGGCAUUGGAUACUGGCUCGCUAGAGUGCGGUAGAGGGUGGUGGAAUUCCCGGUGUAGCAGUGAAAUGCGUAGAGAUCGGGAGGAACAUCUGUGGCGAAGGCGGCCACCUGGACCAACACUGACACUGAGGCACGAAAGCGUGGGGAGCAAACAGG